Unclassified non-coding RNA from Prolemur simus (greater bamboo lemur), 170 nucleotides. NCBI's taxonomy places the organism in Eukaryota, Metazoa, Chordata, Mammalia, Primates, Lemuridae. The record is from Ensembl.
UUAAGAUAAGUAGCGGUGCUUUUUUAAUUCACAAAACAGAUUCUGUUAGACCAGAGGGAGUAUAUUCCCCCGCAUAGCCAGACCAGCUAGCCUCACUGCUGACCUAAAGGGACAGCUUCUAGAUGAAGGUUGUAGCUAAAUUUUUAUGGCCCAUUUAGUCCUUGGCCUCU